Molecule: unclassified non-coding RNA, 331 nt
Filed under: soil metagenome
Description: partial contains 5.8S ribosomal RNA, internal transcribed spacer 2, and large subunit ribosomal RNA
Rfam family: 5.8S ribosomal RNA (bases 1-120)
Source: RNAcentral
GAUGAAGAACGUAGCGAAAUGCGAUAAGUAAUGUGAAUUGCAGAAUUCAGUGAAUCAUCGAAUCUUUGAACGCACAUUGCGCCCCCUGGUAUUCCGGGGGGCAUGCCUGUUCGAGCGUCAUUUCACCACUCAAGCCUCGCUUGGUAUUGGGCAACGCGGUCCGCCGCGUGCCUCAAAUCGACCGGCUGGGUCUUCUGUCCCCUAAGCGUUGUGGAAACUAUUCGCUAAAGGGUGUUCGGGAGGCUACGCCGUAAAACAACCCCAUUUCUAAGGUUGACCUCGGAUCAGGUAGGGCUACCCGCUGAACUUAAGCAUAUCAAUAAGCGGAGGA